AACGAACGCUGGCGGCAGGCCUAAUACAUGCAAGUCGAACGAACCUUCGGGCUAGUGGCGCACGGGUGCGUAACGCGAGGGAAUGUACAACUUGGUAAGGAAUAACUGCUGGAAACCGUAGCUAAUGCCUUAUAAUGACUCCGGACCAAAGAUUUAUCGCAAAGGAAUCAGCCCGCGUUAGAUAAGCUAGUUGGGGAAGUAAUGGCUCACCAAGGCGACGAUCUAUAGGGGGUCUGAGAGGAUGAUCCUCCACACUGGAACCGAGACACGGACCAGACUCCUACGGGAGGCAGCAGUAAGGAAUAUUGGACAAUGGGGGCAACCCUGAUCCAGCCAUGCCGCGUGUGUGAAGAAGGCCUUAGGGUUGUAAAGCACUUUCAAACGUGAAGAUAAUGACGGUAGCGUUAGAAGAAGCUCCGGCUAAAUUCGUGCCAGCCGCCGCAGUAA
RNAcentral lists this ribosomal RNA (447 nucleotides) under uncultured bacterium. RNAcentral describes it as "partial 16S ribosomal RNA". It matches the Rfam family "Bacterial small subunit ribosomal RNA", at positions 29 to 523 of the family's 1533-position model. The record is from RNAcentral.